This 671-nucleotide ribosomal RNA is filed under the name Pseudomonas sp. RNAcentral describes it as "bacterial SSU rRNA". It matches the Rfam family "Bacterial small subunit ribosomal RNA", at positions 33 to 697 of the family's 1533-position model. The record is from RNAcentral. Lineage: Bacteria; Pseudomonadati; Pseudomonadota; Gammaproteobacteria; Pseudomonadales; Pseudomonadaceae.
ACGACGCAGUGAGGCGCAGCUACCAUGCAAGUCGAGCGGAUGAGGGAGCUUGCUCCCUGAUUUACGGCGGACGGGUGAGAAAUGCCUAGGAAUCUGCCUGGUAGAGGGGGAUAACGUUCCGAAAGGAACGCUAAUACCGCGUACGUCCUACGGGAGAAAGCAGGGGACCUUCGGGCCUUGCGCUAUCAGAUGAGCCUAGGUCGGAUUAGCUAGUUGGUGAGGUAAUGGCUCACCAAGGCGACGAUCCGUAACUGGUCUGAGAGGAUGAUCAGUCACACUGGAACUGAGACACGGUCCAGACUCCUACGGGAGGCAGCAGUGGGGAAUAUUGGACAAUGGGCGAAAGCCUGAUCCAGCCAUGCCGCGUGUGUGAAGAAGGUCUUCGGAUUGUAAAGCACUUUAAGUUGGGAGGAAGGGCUGCUGGUUAAUACCCUGCAGUUUUGACGUUACCAACAGAAUAAGCACCGGCUAACUUCGUGCCAACAACCGCGGUAAUACGAAGGGUGCAAGCGUUAAUCGGAAUUACUGGGCGUAAAGCGCGCGUAGGUGGUUCGUUAAGUUGGAUGUGAAAGCCCCGGGCUCAACCUGGGAACUGCUGCCCAACACUGGAGAGCUAAAUUACGGUAGAGGGGGGGUGGAAUUGGUCUGACUACCGGAGAGAUGUUCUAUUU